Non-coding RNA from Danio rerio (zebrafish), 2479 nucleotides. The record is from RefSeq and is a predicted model, not a curated record. NCBI's taxonomy places the organism in Eukaryota, Metazoa, Chordata, Actinopteri, Cypriniformes, Danionidae.
UAUCUAAAAAAAAUCUUUAGAUUUCAGUGUAAAUCUAUUAGAUAAUUGAGAAAAGGAUAAUAAGGUCUCCCCAUCAAAAAGUUGAUUAAUUAUCUUUAAACCAUUCUUUUCCCAUCUGUUGAAGACAUUAUCCAUAGUAGAAGGAAGAAAUUCUGGAUUAUCUUUAAAUGGCAGGACUUUCAGAGACACUCCAGGAAAUGAAUUCUGUUCAAUACUAACCCAGUCUGCUUCUUUAUCAACACCAAGCCAAGCUGUGAUAGUCCUCAACUGAGCAGCCCAUUAACAGUACUUAAAAUUGUGAAGGUUCAGCCCCCCCUUAUCUUUAUUUGACAUUAGUAUUUUAAGUCUUACUCUUGGUCUUUUAUUUUGCCAAAUGAAUUUUGAAAUCAAUUUUUCUAAUUUAUUAAAUGCUGUGACUGGGACCCAAACAGGAAGGGAUUGAAAUAGAAAGAGGAGUCUUGGCAGUAUGUUCAUUUUCACUGUUUCUAUUCUACCAAACAUAAAGAGAGGUAGUUUUUUCAAUCUAACUACGUUUUAUAAUUUCAAAAAGCCGUGUCUAAUUUGCUGUGUAUAAACGUGAUGCUUCAAUCAUAAGGAUGACCCCACGGUAUCUAAAAUUCUUAUAGACCAUCGAAAAGAUAUAUCCUUGUCUAGUUGUGAUGGCCAGUGUCCUGAUAAGAAUGAAUGACCAUUAACACAAACUCUUGAUUUAAGAUUCUUAUAAAAAAACAAAACAUUACCCAUUUAACAAAAGUGUCAUUAAAUCCCAUGUAAUUUAGAGUCUGCUCCAAGAACACCCAGUCCACCCUAUCAAAUACUUUUUCAGCAUCUAAGCUCAGAAGCAUUGAGGGUGUUUUGCUCUUUUCCAAUCUGCUGUAAAUUGAAUGUUUUUCUUAUAUAAUUUAUUGCAUGUCUUUCAUUGUUAAAUCCGGUCUGAUCUGGUUUAAUUAAGUUUUUAAUAUGUUUUUGAAUUCUAAUUGCUAAUAUUGAAGUUAAAAUUUUCAUAUCUUGACAUAGUAAGCUCAUUGGUCUGUAUGCCAUACAUUGUGUAGAGUCCUUGCCACUUUUUUGAAGUACUGUAAUGAUCGUAUUAGACCAUGAAUGGGGUGCAUCUUCAUUCUGCAAUACAUAAUUAUAUACCUUGCAUAGAUUUGGUGCCAAUUCAUUUGUAAAUGCCUUAUAAAAUCGUCUACCCCUGGUGAAUUAUUAUUUUUUAAAUGUAUUAUAAUUUCUAUUAUUUCUUCUUCUGUAAUAGGGGAUAUCAUUUAUUUUGCCUCUGCUUCUGUUAAUUUAUUUAAGCCAAUUAUUUGCAAAAAAUCUUUAACUUUUUCUUUCUUAUUUACAAGAUUCUGACCCUCAUAUAAUUCUUUGUAGUAAUCUCCGAAUGCAUUUAUUAUGUUCUUUAGUUGAGUAAGCAUUAUUGAUGUGUCUGGGUGUUUGAUUUUUGGAACAGCUCUGUUUGCUUGAGACUUAUGUAACUGAAAAGCUAAAAGCCUGCUUGCUUUAUUACUCAUCUCAGAGUAUUUUCUGCUUACAAAUCUAAGUGCCCCCUCUGCUUUAUAUUUAAGUCAUCUAAUUUCUUUUUUUAAGCAUUCCAAAAUUUGAAUUUUACCUGUUUGUUUAUGGUAUCCUAGAUGUUAUUUCUAUUAUUUUACCUCUUAUUACUGCUUUGGCCUCUUCCCACAAAAUAGAAGGAGUAACCAACCCAUUAUCAUUAAUAUCAAAAUAUUUAAUUAACUGUUCUCUUACUUUGGCCUUACAACCAUUUAGCACUGACACGUUUAAUCUGCAGUAUUUAAACUGUUUACCUUGUCCAAUGUUAAGUUUUAACCUAACUGGCACAUGAUCAGAUAUAGUUAUCUCGUUAUCUAUCUAUUUGUCAUUUUUUGACAUUAUGUAAAUCUGUUCUAGAAGUACAAAAAAGGUCUAUUCUAGAGUAACUGCCAUGCACAUGUGACAUAAAAGUAAAGUCCUUCUCUUUGGGGUGUAGGUGUCUCCACACAUCUACUAAUCCUAAUUCUCUAAUUAUUCCUAAAAUAACUUUUACUUUUUUGCCUGUGGUCCUCUUUCUGCUGGUAGCCUAACUAUUUUACUAUCUAGUACACAAUUAAAGUCUCCACUUAUUAAAUUUAUUCCCUCACCUGUCUGUACUAAUAGAGAGAAAACAUUCUUGACAAACUGUGUAUGGUCUUCAUUGGGUGCAUAAAGGUUCAGAAUAGUAAUUUUUUUGCCUGCAAUUGUUCCAACUACCAUGACAUAUCUUCCUUCUUUGUCAUUUGCUCCAAAUUAAAGAAGACUGACUUGGCAAACAUGAUUGCUACACCUCUCUUCUUCCCUUUAGAAAAUGAGGCAUUAUAAACCAGGUCCACCCACUCACUUCUAAGUUUUAAAUGCUCCACAUCCGAUAGGUGUGUCUCUUGAAGAAGUGCGCUAGAACAUCGAAUAUUUUUAAGCUGAUUAAAUAUUUUCUUUCUUUUAA